CUACGGGAUGCAGCAGUGGGGAAUAUUGGACAAUGGGGGCAACCCUGAUCCAGCCAUGCCGCGUGUGUGAAGAAGGCCUUCGGGUUGUAAAGCACUUUCGGUCAGAAAGAAGGGUGUGUCGUUAAUAGCGGCAUACUUUGACGGUACUGACAUAAGAAGCACCGGCUAACUCCGUGCCAGCAGCCGCGGUAAUACGGAGGGUGCAAGCGUUCAUCGGAAUUACUGGGCGUAAAGCGCGCGUAGGCGGUUUGUUAAGUCGGAUGUGAAAGCCCCGGGCUCAACCUGGGAACUGCAUACGAUACUGGCAAGCUAGAGUGCAAUAGAGGGGGGUAGAAUUCCAGGUGUAGCGGUGAAAUGCGUAGAUAUCUGGAGGAAUACCGGUGGCGAAGGCGGCCCCCUGGAUUGACACUGACGCUGAGGUGCGAAAGCGUGGGUAGCAAACAGGAUUAGAUACCCCAGUAGUC
RNAcentral lists this ribosomal RNA (464 nucleotides) under uncultured bacterium. RNAcentral's name for it is "partial 16S ribosomal RNA". It matches the Rfam family "Bacterial small subunit ribosomal RNA", at positions 339 to 795 of the family's 1533-position model. The record is from RNAcentral.